ACAUAUUACCAAUAGUCAUGAACACAUAUAUAUCCAACACAUGUUACCAAUAGUAGCAAGUUUCAUCCGUACAUAUACAUAGUUUCAUCAAUAUUACACAGUUUCAUCCAUAGGUAGCAAGUUUCACAAGGUCAAAACAAAAACUAAAUACAAGCACUCCAUCAACCCAAGCUUCCGUGAUCUUAAGCAAAUCUGUAAAAUGGGAAAGAAGAAAGUUAGAAGAAGAAGACUAGAAGAAGAAGAUUAUUAUGAUGCAGAAAUAUGCAUGGAUUGUCAAAACUUGCAUUAUCCUACUAUCGCUAGUACAACAAAGCUGCAGGUUGGCAUAGUUCAUGAACCAUGUACAUCAUGACAAAUACAAUAUCAUCCAAUGCUCGACUAUGAACAAAAUUGAACAAUUACACCUCACAAAGGCGGAGCAUAGAACCAACAAGCAAGUAGGAGGGGUAUAAGAGGACGUGAGGAGCUCACCGGAGGGGGUUCUAGCCUAGGCUGAGCUUCAUCACCAUGGAUGCGGCUAGGGAAAUCAGACGAGUCUACCAUCAUAGGAGCACCACCACCACCACCGCCAAAACUGGAAUGGCCAGAGCAAAUCGCCAUCAUAUGGGUCACCACCACCGAAUGAUCUUGCAAGGUGUAAAGUCUCCACAUUUCAGUAUAAACUAGUGGCGUCAAGAAACAAGCAGUAGCAGGCAGAAGGUAAAUUCUAGUAACUGAUGAUUAGUAGACAAAAACAGGAAAUAGAUCGCACCAGUAGCAAAGUCCACUGCCGCAAGUCCUAAACAUUUCAUUCAGAUCAUAUAUGAAACUCACUAGUAAGCGUGCAUGUGCAACUCACGUUUCAAACGUUGAUCAAGUGAGUGUGAGUUCACGGUAUAAAACUAAAAUAUGUUUUGCAAAUAAAUAAAUUAAAUGGAUACAAAACUGCAUGUCGUUUAAAUUGUAUUUUAAAAAGUGAGACAUCACUGUGAUCCAAUAAUCAGAUGAAGAAUCAGUUUGUGGCCUCGAUAACCAAUGUUUUCACGCAAAAUGGUUUCUGAGAUGAAUUUACACACAACCAAUAUGUAAGUUCCGAGCACAUGCAAGAGAAGAAUUGAAGUUAUGCAUAUAUCUUACCCUGUUACCAUCAGAUGCAAGUGAACUAUUAGCUUAAGAUCACUUGAGCCCAGAGAGCGAAGAACAUUUUUUUUCAAAUUACAUCAUUUAGAAUUGCAAAAUGGACCAAAGAUAAGAUAAUUCAUACAUUGGAUAAAGUGGCAAAAUAUAGCAAUGGUGUAAAUAGGCAUGGGACAUCCCAAAUAUACAUUGGAUAAAAUGCAAGGUGAUAAUAAGAUUAGAUCUGGUCACUUUAUUACAAAGUAGUAAGACUAAAUCUCCCAAAAUAAAAAUGGUUGUUCUGCCUAUAAAAUAUAUAAUGCAGCCCCAAUUAAAAAAGGUAGAAUAAAUUAUGCCACAAAUUGCAUCAUCGGCCAGCCUAACUGCGCUAAUGUAUCCAUUUCAGAAUGGCAAGCAAGCAAGUGUGUCGGGUAGCUACAUGACUAUAAACUUUAGUGUGGUCGAUGAUACCAGCAACCAUCAAGUCCUCGUACUACCGAACAGAAGGAUCACACACUUGCAGCUAGAAAUAAUCUGGUACGACAUCAUCUUUUAUGCUAUUCAGAUCUAUGCAGAAAUAUAUGAACUUUAUAUUAGUAAAUGAGAUCUAACCUUCUCGGUAACAAUGUUGUCAUUGACACCCACAUUCUUUGCAAUCAAUUUGAAUGGAAAAACUGAAAUGUUCAAUGGUUCAACAUGAUUGUUUGUGACCCACAUGUGGUGGACCGUGUUGGCUGCGGGUAUUAGGAGCACGGGGCAAUGUCAUUCGUUUCUUGUACCUUAUGAAACAGGGUAUCCUUGACACAUCUACUUUAGCAGCCAAUUUGAAAAGAGUUCACACUCCACAACAAUACCUUCCUCAAUGGCAGCGUGCGAAAAGAAGAAGCAAUUCAGAAGCUUUAAGGAAGCAACAAACUAAUUGACUUAAUUCUGCUUCUUUGAAAAGCAAAUACAAAGGACAACUUGAAAUGUUCAAUGAAAAAACAUUGAUUGACUCACCUAGUUACAUUAGAGCAUCCUCAACUCCCAACCUCUCUUUAAGUUCAGUUUAUGUUCGUCCUCCCACCUAUCAAGUCAUGGGUUACAGUCACCAUAUCAUCCUUCCUUCCAACAGGUUAUCAAGGAAAAGAGCAGCAUAUCAACAGAUAAUGCCCUCCAUUAAUACAUGAAUGACAGCGACACCACCGGCCAGUGCUAUCCUCUGGUUGAGUUCUCCUUCUCGUAGUCUAGUUUUGCUGCCAGCAAAUUAGUAAUGAUAACUUAGAAUCAGACUUAAGACUAUGACACUUCCUAUGUUUGCGAUAAAUAAAACAACUACACAUAUAGGUCAUACAAAUAGAUUUAUAAUCAACUCCCAGGAUGAAGCCUUCAAGAAUUUCUAAUAAAGGGAGGCAUAAAGAAAAGAAAAGGAGGCAUAAAGUGUAUUGUAAUAUGAAGAAACUUCUAAUCUGCAUCUACUACCAAGAAUUAUAAAAUGGAACCCUCAAGAAUUAUGCUACCAAGUCAAGGGAGGCAUAGAGAAGAAAAUGGUCGUACCUCAUUGAGAUUUUCUAUCUAUGCCAUCCUCUUAGUCACUUCUUCCUGGGCUACAUGAAACUUCUGUUAUGAGUUGUGAAUGAAAGAUAAAGCAACAACAAGGAGAUGAUAGAGAUAUAGCAGAUCAGAACCAUUUUGACAUAAUGAUAAAUUCCUACAAGAUUCCUGUAAAUCAAAGGAGGUCUUUUCUUUAAUAACAAACGAAAGGAAGCAAGUACAUGCAAAAAUAAAUUUGACACUCUUGCCAAUAAAAUGUUGUACCAAACUACCAAAGUAAAGCAAAAUUUACAGAGGUAUUGUAAUUCGGUUUCUGUACCAAAAUCAACGGGAAAAAAAUCUCAAAGAUGUGGUUAACAAAAUCUGCCGGCAAUGCAAACUUGCAAACAAACAAUACCUACUAAAUCAGUGGUGCCUUGCAAAUGCAGGUUGUUGUGUGCCUACAGAACGUCCUAAUUCCUAAAUGGGCAUUGAAGGCCUACGGGGAUCAGAGGAUCAGCCUUAUUCUUAUGCUUCUACCUACAGGGAUUUUUUGAGCUAGCUAGGUUAAAACUUGAACUAAUUAAUAAUAUAUAUGUAUAUAAUAAUAAUGGAAUACCUGACAUGAACUAUAAUAUUAAUAUGAGGGCCUCCUUGUGUUUAUAUGUAUAGAAUGCUUAUAUGUAUAUAUGUAUAGAAUAUGUAUAGAAUAUGGGCCUCCUUGUGAUUCCUCAAAAGAAUAUCAAAUGUGAAUAAACAAAAAAUCACUCUUAUCAUUUACUUUUCUUUACAUUAAAAUGAAAAACAUCCACCAGGGAAACCUACUGUUCUACUAAAAACACAUUUGUUUCCCUGGGGUGUACUGUUUUGCAAACUUGUUUCUCAUAUCAAUCUUGCUAAAUCUCAGUCGACUGAGACCUCGUUAAGAGUCUCAGUCGAUGCUAUAUUCUUGAGAUCCUACACUGAGAUUUUCUCACAUAGUACUACUAUUUAUGCCAGUUCAUAAGCAUUUUCCACAAACUACUUUGAGAUUUUGCACUGCGUUUGGCUGGGAGGUAACCGAAUUUGCCAGCUGGUUACUUGCUUUUGCCCAUGUUUUGCAGAACAAAUAACAGGCCAUACUAGACAUGAAGAAUGACACUAGGUCCAUGGAAAAAUAGCACAAGAAUUUGUUUUUUGGAUGCUAAGAAAGCCGGCAACAGGCUAAAUUGCACUUCCUCAGCCUCUCUAAAAAAGGCACCUACAGCAUUGGAUAUCAAAAGGACCCGUCGAAACUUAGUUUACGAAAUCGGAGAUAUCGAACUUAGUUUACAAACUCUGCUAGUACAUGAUAUUGCAACCAAGCUUGCAUACCUCAGGUUUUCAAUGUCUUGACAAACGUCAGCAUCACACAAGCUUAAGAGCAUUUUCGAAGCAUUUCAGCAUAAGAAACAUUUCCGGGUCAAGCUUCUAACAAAUAGUCCAUUAGCUUUACCGAACGAUCGUAAUCAUCUUCAACUCCGCACCUCCCUCAAGGUCAUAAGAAGACCUCUUCUCCUUUGACGGAAACACUAAAACUGGAUUUGUUAUUGUUCUCUCCCCUUGUCUUGCAUUGCUUAUAGCCAUUACACAGGCUGAUGCCUGGACGGCCGCACUAUUGUAUUCCACGAAAUUUGAUUGCAUGGCCUGCAAGCUGAUAUCAUCAGAUAAUCACUAAACAAGUAAGCGGUCAAACCG
RNAcentral lists this long non-coding RNA (4323 nucleotides) under Triticum aestivum (bread wheat). RNAcentral describes it as "long non-coding RNA (TAES_LNC027612)". The record is from RNAcentral. Lineage: Eukaryota; Viridiplantae; Streptophyta; Magnoliopsida; Poales; Poaceae.